This 253-nucleotide ribosomal RNA is filed under the name uncultured bacterium. Its description in RNAcentral is "partial 16S ribosomal RNA". It matches the Rfam family "Bacterial small subunit ribosomal RNA", at positions 524 to 776 of the family's 1533-position model. The record is from RNAcentral.
UACGUAGGCAGCAAGCGUUGUUCGGAGUUACUGGGCGUAAAGGGUGUGUAGGCGGUUCUUUAAGUUUGGUGUGAAAUCUCCCGGCUCAACCGGGAGGGUGCGCCGAAUACUGAGGGACUAGAGUGUGGGAGAGGAAAGUGGAAUUCCUGGUGUAGCGGUGAGAUGCGUAGAUAUCAGGGGGAACACCGGUGGUGUAGACGGCUUUCUGGACCAUAACUGACGCUGAGACACGAAAGCGUGGGUAGCAAACAGG